This is a non-coding RNA of Bactrocera oleae (olive fruit fly), 2509 nucleotides long. NCBI's taxonomy places the organism in Eukaryota, Metazoa, Arthropoda, Insecta, Diptera, Tephritidae. The record is from RefSeq and is a predicted model, not a curated record.
UAUUUAUUUUUUUUUGUUGAAAAAAUUCACUUUCCGUUCACGGAUUUGUAAUCUACUCGUAAAAAUAAGACGAUUUAAAAAAAAAUUAUUUUUGAGGCCUCCUUAGUUGAGGGAUCUAAACUAUACAUUUACCGAAAAUGCUAUUCGAAUUUUAAUUAAAUCAAUUAAGGAUUGACAAGUUAUGCUUCUGGACGUAGCUCGAACGCUCCCUAAUUUUUUUUCGAUUAUUUUAUAAUAUGAUUAGGUAAAUAUUUUAGUAAAUGUUAGGUCAAAGAUGGUGACGAGACUUGCACAGAGAGGCUCUUAUGCUUUCGGAAUAUAACGAGCUCCUCUCCAAGCAGUUUUCGCAGAAAUCACCCCUGCAGUCGUCUGAUUGAAGCGGAACCGCCUCUUGGGAGCAACAAGAGGGGCUUCCUUGAUUACGUCGUCGACAUCAGACAGUAAGCCUACUGGACUUUGGACGCAACGGAGCCAUCAACAUCUUCAUCGACUCCCUCUCAGUCAAUGGCGUACUAGGAUUCAAACCACCACCCAUAGCAUACAUAGAGCUCGAGUUGCCUCCCGAAACCAGAAUGAACCUCGCGUUCUGGAUAUUGUAGCAGGUUAAACUCCUACUUAUCCAGAAUAGACCCCGACAUUCCAAACAUAUGCCCUGCGUGCAAUGAGUCCCCGCAUGAUACUAACCGCCUCUUUGCAUGCCUAAUAAACCCAACUCAUCUAACAACGUUUUUCCUAUGGUCCGACCCCGUCGAAACAGCUUGUUUCUUGGACCUCCCGUUAGAUGACCUCGACAACAACCAAACUAUUACUUAUCAUCCAAAAAUAUAUAAACGUUACAACAACAAACGUUUCAACAAUAGUUUUAGGUUUUGAGCUCUUGAGCCAGUCUUUAAAAAAAAAUUUCAAUAUGUUUUUAAUAACUAUAGCUUUUUUUUUGUUAUUAAUGGUCUCAGCCUAUCUCACAAGGGUUAAGUUUUACAAUUAGUCAAGCAAACGUGGUCUAACCCCUGUUUUUUGUAACAUGUUAACAUGUUUAAAUCAUUGUCUGUUUAAUAUAUGUACAUAUGUAUAAACGUUUAUAUAUUUAUAUUGUGAACAAGAAAAAACGUGAACUCCGACUGUAACGAAGCUAUAAUAUCCCGUACAGAUCAGUUUGUAUGGCAUUUGAUAUAGUGGUCCCAUCCGAACAAUUUCUUCGGAGAUUAUACCGUUGCUUUGAAAAAUAAGUCGUGCCUAAUUUCGUGAAGAUAUAUUGUCAAAAAAAAGUUAUUCUUACAAAAACUUGACUCUGAUCGUUCAGUUUAUGUGGCAGCUGUUUGCUAUAGAAUUCAUAUAUCGGCGAUUCCGACAAAUUAACAGGGAGAGUCUAUUUCAGAGUGAUAUCUCAAAUACUAAGGGACUAUUUCGCAUAUAUGGUAUACACAUAGACGGACAUGGCUAAAUUAACUCAGCUCGUCACGCUGAUCAUUUAUAUAUGUAUACACUUUAUAUGGUCUCCGACGUUUCCUUCUGAGUGUUACAAACUUCAUAGUACCUGUUCAGGGUAUAAAAAUGGUCAUAUUACGAUAAAUAUUUAAAGUCAUUUCGUAUAUGAUAUGCUAAAUCCGAUGUGAAAUUGAGAAACUUAUAUUUGGAGAAAAAAACAAAUAUCAUUACUUUCCAGUCACUUAGUCUUACUUCGAUUAUAGGCUAUAGUAUUAUAUCUACUUUAUUUGUUAAGGAAUAAUUUUUUCAAUAUCAAUCUCUAUUCAUUCUAAAAAUUAAAAUUAAUUAUUUAAAUAAAAUAAAGUAUUAAAGUAAUUACCUGAAGGAAUAUUGAAAACAACUGCACAUAUUUUCAGUUGUGGUUAAGCUGUUCGAUUACUGAUUUUCACAUUCUUUUCAUUUCAUUCCUUCAAAGGAACAAGUUAUUUUAAAAACAUAUACAUAUGUAUGUAGAUUUAUAUUUCAGAAAAAAUCUCGAAAUAUGAGUGUGUCAUUUUUCGCUAAAACUAAAAUUACUAAGAACUAUAUUUGUAGAUGUAAUGACUCAUAGCUUUAAUCUUGGUUUCACUAGUGCCCUGGUUGCACCAACUAAACACUCUCAACUAAAACUGAUGCAGCAAUUUUUAGAAUAAUUACGUUAUAGACACUUUUACAACAAUAAAAAAAAUUAACAAAGUGCUUGACUUUAUAAAUAAAUGACGAAUUUUGAUCUAAAGUGAGAAGAUUUUGAGCCCACUAAAAUUACAUUUGCCAUACAAUCGAAAAACGGGUGGGCAAUUGUAGUACAAAGAAACUUAUACAAAAGGUAUAAACUAUCGAAAUAUGUCUAAAAACUUCGAAAGAACAUAUUAGAUUUGUCUCUUAAAAUCCAAGGAUCGUUUUUAUAUCGUACUGCUCAAUUGAUCAUCCAUGAAAGGCGAAUGUAUGGUAAACACUGAGUGCGUUCGCGUUUUCCGUAAAAUAAUCAUUGGAGCACGCGAAUCAAGGUAUUCACUUAUUACAUAGAAUUUUUAUGAAUGUCUAA